GAUGAACGCUGGCGGCGUGCCUAAUACAUGCAAGUCGAGCGAACAGACGAGGAGCUUGCUCCUCUGACGUUAGCGGCGGACGGGUGAGUAACACGUGGAUAACCUACCUAUAAGACUGGGAUAACUUCGGGAAACCGGAGCUAAUACCGGAUAAUAUAUUGAACCGCAUGGUUCAAUAGUGAAAGACGGUUUUGCUGUCACUUAUAGAUGGAUCCGCGCCGCAUUAGCUAGUUGGUAAGGUAACGGCUUACCAAGGCGACGAUGCGUAGCCGACCUGAGAGGGUGAUCGGCCACACUGGAACUGAGACACGGUCCAGACUCCUACGGGAGGCAGCAGUAGGGAAUCUUCCGCAAUGGGCGAAAGCCUGACGGAGCAACGCCGCGUGAGUGAUGAAGGUCUUCGGAUCGUAAAACUCUGUUAUUAGGGAAGAACAAAUGUGUAAGUAACUAUGCACUUCUUGACGGUACCUAAUCAGAAAGCCACGGCUAACUACGUG
Molecule: ribosomal RNA, 497 nt
Filed under: uncultured bacterium
Lineage: Bacteria
Description: partial 16S ribosomal RNA
Rfam family: Bacterial small subunit ribosomal RNA
Source: RNAcentral